CCUGCAUUGAGUUUUAAUAAUAAGCUUACCUGCCGCAGCUCGCCUGCCAGGUGGUUUUCUUAAUUAGUUAAUUGGUUGCAUCUGGUGCGUUUCACUUAAAAGGGAACCGGACAGUACAUUUGUUUGUGUACUGUUUUGCUGAAGUCUGUUGUGACUUAUUUAACAUUCCAGUUUCACAGGUUAAAGACUUUUUGAAGUAAAGAGGAGCAUCUCAACUGAACCUGAUGUCUAUCAUGGAUAUUUAACUGCAGUUCUGUGAGUAUCCCAACUUAACCAUGAAGCAUAACUGCAAAAUGUAAGUCAUUAAUUUCUCAUUACUCUUGGGCACAUUGAUGUAUUUUGGCUUCCUGGUGAGUUAACCUGUUACCUGAAGGUUGAUCUGAGUAGCAAGGAUGUUUUAUUGGUUCAUGGGUGUUUGCUUUAUGCUGGUUUUAAUGAUUUGUUAAAAUGGUUACAGGCUCCAAGUUAUUGUUGUAAGCUGGAGUAAUGGGUUGGGUUCUGAUAUCUUCAGUCUUCUUUCAUUCUACUCUCCUGAGCUCUGCAUCUUCAUCACUUGAGUGUUGCUUUACUGAUGAGGAUGUGGUCUGAGUGAGCAGAGGUGCAUGCUGGGAUACAGAGCUGUCUGAAGUCUACAGGUCUGUAGACAUGCCCCCUCAGGGGAAACCGAGUGUUUGAGAAACUGUCGUGACGUCAGUUACGUGGACUGGAAUGUUCUUAAAGAUGGAGACAGGGAUUCAGAAGGAGAAACACCAGGGGGAGAUGAAGGGGCUCCUCAUCUCAACGACUAAAACACAACUUCAGUCUGACACAGAGAACCAUGGAACACAUUCAACAGUCCCCUCCAGGCAUCGUGACUCCUCAGGAACAGUUUCAUUUCCAAGAAGGUCUUAUUUGGGGCCAUCCCCAUAUGGAUCCUGCUCCUCAAGAGCCACACUGAACAGAUGACCUUCUUCCUGUCCUCAGGCUGACUAAAGCUGCACCGUUUGCAUCUGUGAAGGCCCCUCAUUCAGGAAAACAGUGGACUACAAAGACGUGACUUCUGGGACACAUUUUGGAGACGCCAAGCAUAAUCCAUCACCAAUGUGGGACGCCACUGAAGAAUGUUAAUAAUUUACGUCUCUGGAGACAUUGGUUGUUCUGUUAUGGGUGCCCUGGCAGGAGAGCUGGGGGGGGGUGAUGGAAUGUUAUUUGCUAUGAGGUUUUUACCCUGCAUGAUUGUUUGGCUAUUUAUGGCUCAGUGGUGAGUGUGUGUGUGUUUGGGUUUGACAUGAGAUGGAAGAUUUUUGAGCAUCGGUAGGGUUCUACUGUGUGUGUGUGUGUGUGUGUGUGUGUCUCUCACUCACACCUGGCAUGGGGUUCUACGUGCCUGUCCUGGGUUCUGUGUGUGUGUGUGUGUGUCCGGCUUGCUUUGACAGUGAUAAUGUUCAUACGGGGGUCUGUGUGAUUGGCUUGGGAUAUUGGAAUGGUCAACUAAAUCAUACCUGAUGGACGGCCACACGUUUACUUCAGGGCCUCCAGUAGACAUGAAGAGCCCUGAGCGAUGCUCCGGAGCGAGAUCCAACACACUGGGCAGGAAGGAGUGUAUCCAACUCAAGUGUAAAAGGAUGCAAGCGGCGUGUUCAGAUCAGUGACUUCAAACUAGGACUACACCAAUCAGGAUCAAUGGAGGAUGGACACCAAAAGGAAUUCCACAAGGAGAGUCUGACGUUGGAAAGGGACCUAAAUGGAUAUUCAAGAUGACCUUCAGACCUGUAAUGAGACGGCUCUUCCUACCUGGUUGGAUUGAUGGAGAGCCCUCUGGAUCUUGUCUUGCUCUCAGUUGCACAUCUUCUCAUGCUGAACUGUAAUUGUUUCGGACAGGACUAGCUAUACGAUUGGUUCCCUUAAAUCAGAACCAAUCCGGGAACUCAAGCUGGUGCGCUCUUCGAACUGAAGUUGUGCUCUUCAGCUGAGGAGGUAAGGAAACCUUCACUGGGGCUUCAAGGUGUAAAGAGGAGAAUGUUUCAAAGUGUUCCAUGGUACUCUGAUGAAGACCGUUGUUGUGUUCUACUGGCUGCGAGGAAGAACCCACACAUCUUCCUCUUGGCCUUUCUCCUCUGAGAAUCCUGGCGCCAUCUUGUAGGAUAUUCCAGCUCAUGUAACUGAUGUCACGACAGAUUCUCAAACACUUGGUUUCUCCUGAGGGGCGUGUCUAUGGAACUGAAGACUUCAGACAGCACUGUAUCCCAGCAUGGAUCUCUGCUCACUCAGACCACACCCCCAUGAGUAGGAUGCAACACUCUAGUGAUGGAGAUGUAUAGUUUUAUAAGUAACGAGGGAGCAGACUAAGGUCCUUAGAACACAAUGGAAUGUCAAGUCUGUAAAUCCUUAAGAUGGUUGGAUAGUUCAGGAAUUGGGUUUCUUUUUAUUAUGGGCAGUCCUUUCACUCAGAUGCCCACUUCCCACUGGAGCUGUACAUGUGUUGGCUGGCUGGCCUGAUUUGCUGUUGGUGAUGAGGCGGUCAGGGUGACGUUGCAGGGCUAUGGUCGGCUCUCUGUGAGCUCAACGUUUAGAUUUGCCCUGUAUGGUUUGUACCCUGAAUAAUCUAGAUAAUUGUAAAAAGUAGACACGGUUUUGUAUUGAAUGAUUCCCGGAUUUUAGGUUUAAAGUUGUUGUGGGACGUACAUGGUAGUUUGGUUCUUCGUAUGGUUUUGAGUGAUAUAACUUUUACACACUGGGUGCAUAAUAAUGUAAAGGUACACUGAAUAGUAUUAAUGACCAACAGCAACAAACAGAUCUCCUCAAGGUAAGUCUGUUGGCUGUGUUUUAAUGAAGACCAUCGCUGGACUUCAGGAUCUUCCUCCGUUCAGCUCAAGGUGAGGCGCUGGUUCGGUUUUUUCUUUGGUUGGUUCCGGCCGGAAUGUUCGGAUUCCAGUCGGACGGUUUGUGCUUCCCGCCGUGGAAGGUUCUGAGUGCGGUCACUUGAUUUAGUCCCAAUGGUUAGCAUAGAACGUUGUAGUCUUGACAACCAUAAGAAACCUCCCUAUCUUAAACAACUAAAAUUUUAUAUCAAAUACAUGCUGAGACGUACGUCGUACAAUAUGUUGAUAAUUUCCGUUGGUUGCGCCGUACUUUUAACCAUGAUGACGUUGCGGGACUCUCACUGCGUACAAAACAGCGUUCUACUUGCGUGCCCAUUUUUGACAUCAGGGAAGGCUCAUUUCAUUUCAUUUCAUGGUAGAAGAUAAUUUGACAUUUCUUCAACGGAACCCAGCACCUGAAUAUGGCUGAGUAUAUUUGAUUUAAUAUCGAUACUGCUUAGUGUUCUUUGUUACUUCAGCUUUUGUACGUUCUAAAUAUCUGCUGUCAUUAAUUGCCACAGAAGUUAAACCCUACCCAAUGGAAUGACGUUAAACAAUGACUUUGGUGCAGAGUUACCAACUGGAUAAUUUCAAAGCUAAAAUAAUGGCCGUCAUUCCCACAUGUUACAGUAGAAGAUACUCUAGAACUGUACAAGGUUAAAAAGGUAACAUGUAGAUUGUCCCAAGGUGUCUGCCUCCUCACCCAGAGCAAGACCUCCACCUCCUCACCCAGCGCCAGACCUCCAACUCCUGUCAGAAGUCCUCCAGAACAGCUGAAAGGGGAGGCUGAGAGGCUGGGGACCGGAGGCUUGUGGUGCCAGGGUGGACCGGAGACUGAGGCUGGAGACCAGGGGCCUGCAGCACCGGACCAGAGGACCAGGAAUCCAUGGCUGAAGGAGCUGAUGGAGGAGCCGUGCUGUUGGAGGAGCCGUGCUGAAGGCCCUGCCUUGUGGAGGAGCUGGUGGAGGCCCUGCCUGGUGAAGGACGUCUGUCGUGGGACCAGGACUCUGUCUGAGGAGAGCUGCUGGAGGAGCUGAGACGCUGGAGGACGACUAGGAAUCGAAUCGACCAACAAGGAUUCCUCAACGUGUUUCUGGAGCGGAGGCGAGCUGGUGGGGGAGCCGUGAAUCUGGAGGAUGACCAUCACUCUACCAACAAGGAUUACUUUAGGGCCAGACUCGCGCUAUUUGUUCCAGACCAGGACUCUGGCUGAGGAGAGCUGAUGGAGGAGCCAAGACUCUGGAGGACGACAUCACUCCACCAACCAGGAUCCUCACACACCUGAGCUGAACCUCACCUGAUCCUGUUUGGUCGGGGGUAGACACACCUGAGCUAAACCCGCCCUGAUCCUGACAUCCUGCUGGUCCCGUCUCCUCAGUUCAUCUGAGCCUCGUCCUCCAGAAGACCGCUGAGCUCAGCUGUCUGAGGCUGAUGGAUCAAUGACCUCCAGUGGGAAUGAUCUUCUUGACCCCACAUGUAACCGUGUGCUUCCACACGCCUUUCCCUCACGUCUGUCACUAACCUCACUACUUCACUACUCUCUACUGCUUCCUCUUUUCUUCCUUCUCUGUGGUUCAAACCUUUUACACUGAAGGCGCGUCUUCCUGCCCUCAGAGGGUUUAGCGUUAGGGUUGAGAGUCAGGGUUUAGUGUCAGGGACAGAGCUGGUCAGGGAGGACUGCUUUUACACAAACCUCUUCACUUGCUUUCGGAAUGGUGGUGACAUUUUGAAAAGAUUAAUUUGGGAAAAUGUUUUCCUCUGCUUUCCUUUAAAAAAUUUGUAUUAAACUUCUGUCAAGUGUUUUUGUUUAUAUAUUAAAAUCCCACAUUGACUUCUACAUGUUUGGUGCGGUUCAUUUAAUUGUCCUUUAACUUGGUUAAUGUCAAGCUAAACCCCUGCAAUACAUUUAAUAUACAUGAUUGUUAUUCAGCAAUGUUCACAUAAUCCAUUUUGUAAAAAUAUGAAACCUCCAUAUUACUACUAAGU
Gadus chalcogrammus (walleye pollock) is the source of this 4826-nucleotide long non-coding RNA. RefSeq lists it as uncharacterized. NCBI's taxonomy places the organism in Eukaryota, Metazoa, Chordata, Actinopteri, Gadiformes, Gadidae. The transcript is spliced from 8 exons. The record is from RefSeq and is a predicted model, not a curated record.